Long non-coding RNA from Humulus lupulus (European hop), 612 nucleotides. RefSeq lists it as uncharacterized. The transcript has 3 exons. The record is from RefSeq and is a predicted model, not a curated record. NCBI's taxonomy places the organism in Eukaryota, Viridiplantae, Streptophyta, Magnoliopsida, Rosales, Cannabaceae.
CACUCUACAAACCCUACAUCUUCUUUCUAUCAUACAACCAGCUGCCCAACACCCUUUUUCUUUUCUUUCAGGACCAUUUUAGAAGGCUCUUUGUUGCCAUUCACGGUGGGCAAGAGCUGCCUGACGGAGUUUACCGUCGUCGUUUGUGCUAAACAUGGGUUGUGUUCGCUUAGGGCGGGGCUGGGCAUGGGAUGUUGCCGUUCAUGGAGGACGAAGUUAGGCUCGGAGGUGGCUGGAAAUAGAAUUGGGCUCGCGGAUUGCAUUAUCUCUGUUCGUGGAAGAGGGGGCUAGGCUCAUUGAGGUGAGGGUUAGGCUUGUGGAGGUGGCUAAAAACGGUGUUCACAGAGAUCAUGAAGGAUUGAUAAUAUGCUUUGAGACAAUUUCUUAUUGAGACUGACAGAGGCUAAAACUCUACUUGGAUAUUUAAGAGAACCAAUACAAUUAUAUAAGAGAAUCAAGGCAACAAGAAAUUCUUCUUCAAGUUGUUGGGUAUUAUUUUCUUUUUUGCUUGUAAGAAUUAUGUACUGUGAGGAUUUGAUGUAUUAUUUACAUUGAGAAUAAUGAAUUUUUAUUGAGAAUUAUAAUAAAUUUUUAUUGAGAAUUAUUUAGUCU